Molecule: ribosomal RNA, 490 nt
Filed under: uncultured bacterium
Lineage: Bacteria
Description: partial 16S ribosomal RNA
Rfam family: Bacterial small subunit ribosomal RNA
Source: RNAcentral
AUUGAACGCUGGCGGCAGGCCUAACACAUGCAAGUCGAAUGGUAACAGGAUACAGCUUGUUGUUUCACUGACGAGUGGCGGACGCGUGAGGAAUGUCUGCGAAACUGCCUGAUGGAGGGGGAUAACUACUGGAAACGGUAGCCAAUACCGCAUAACGUCGCAAGUUCAAAGAGGGGGGACUUUUGGUCUCUUGCCAUCAUAUGUGCCCAGAUGGGUUUAGCUAGGAGGUGGGGUAACGUCUCACCGAGGCGACGAUCCCUAGCUGGUCUGAGAGGAUGACCAGCAACCCUGGAACUGAGACACGGUCCAGACUCCUACGGGAGGCAGAAGUGGGGAAUAUUGCACAAUGGGCGCAAGCCUGAUGCAGCCAUGCCGCGUGGAUGAGGAAGGCCUUCGGGUUGUAAAGUACUUUCAGCGGGGAGGAAGGGAGUAAGGUUAAUACCUUUACUCAUUGACGUUACCCUAAGAAGAAGCACCGGCUAACUCCGUG